UUCUACCAACAGACUCCAAAUUAAAACCAUUGUGGACAGAAACCUGUGCUAACUGAUGCAGCAGCAAGCGGCCCUGAUGGCAUCAGUCGCGCAGGGCGGCUACCUGAACCCCAUGGCUGCCUUCGCUGCCGCCCAGAUGCAGCAGAUGGCGGCCCUCAACAUGAAUGGCCUGGCGGCCGCACCUAUGACCCCAACCUCAGGUGGCAGCACCCCUCCGGGCAUCACUGCACCAGCCGUGCCUAGCAUCCCAUCCCCCAUUGGGGUGAAUGGCUUCACCGGCCUCCCCCCACAGGCCAAUGGGCAACCUGCUGCGGAAGCUGUGUUCGCCAAUGGCAUCCACCCCUACCCAGAGCCCCACCGCCGCGGACCCCCUGCAGCAGGCCUACGCCGGAGUGCAGCAGUAUGCAGGUC
RNAcentral lists this small RNA (411 nucleotides) under Pongo abelii (Sumatran orangutan). Its description in RNAcentral is "processed transcript". Lineage: Eukaryota; Metazoa; Chordata; Mammalia; Primates; Hominidae. The record is from RNAcentral.